GUGUGAUUCUGGAAUAAUACCAAGCUGUCACCUCAGCCACAAAAAGCUUGAAACAGGUAAACUUGACAUGGGUAAGCUUGGGUGUGAUUCUGGAAUAAUACCAAGCUGUCACCUCAGCCACAAAAAGCUUGAAACAGGUAAACUUGACAUGGGUAAGCUUGGGUGUGAUUCUGGAAUAAUACCAAGCUGUCACCUCAGCCACAAAAAGCUUGAAACAGGUAAACUUGACAUGGGUAAGCUUGGGUGUGAUUCUGUAAUAAUACCAAACUGUCACCUCAGACACAAAAAGCUUGAAACAGGUAAACUUGACAUGGGUAAGCUUGGGUGUGAUUCUGUAAUAAUACCAAGCUGUCACCUCAGCCACAAAAAGCUUGAAACAGGUAAUCUUGGGUGUGAUUCUGGAAUAAUACCAAGCUGUCACCUCAGCCACAAAAAGCUUGAAACAGGUAAACUUGACAUGGGUAAGCUUGGGUGUGAUUCUGGAAUAAUACCAAGCUGUCACCUCAGCCACAAAAAGCUUGAAACAGGUAAACUUGACAUGGGUAAGCUUGGGUGUGAUUCUGGAGUAAUACUGACCCAUCACCUGAAUCUCCCCCAAAAAGCUUGUAAUAGGUAAG
This is a long non-coding RNA of Eriocheir sinensis (Chinese mitten crab), 617 nucleotides long. RefSeq lists it as uncharacterized. The transcript is spliced from 3 exons. NCBI's taxonomy places the organism in Eukaryota, Metazoa, Arthropoda, Malacostraca, Decapoda, Varunidae. The record is from RefSeq and is a predicted model, not a curated record.